AUUGAACGCUGGCGGCAUGCUUUACACAUGCAAGUCGGACGGCAGCACAGAGAAGAUUGCUUCUUGGGUGGCGAGUGGCGAACGGGUGAGUAAUAUAUCGGAACGUACCGAGUAAUGGGGGAUAACUAAUCCAAAGAUUAGCUAAUACCGCAUAUUCUCUGAGGAGGAAAGCAGGGGACCUUCGGGCCUUGCGUUAUUCGAGCGGCCGAUAUCUGAUUAGCUAGUUGGUGGGGUAAAGGCCUACCAAGGCGACGAUCAGUAGCGGGUCUGAGAGGAUGAUCCGCCACACUGGGACUGAGACACGGCCCAGACUCCUACGGGAGGCAGCAGUGGGGAAUUUUGGACAAUGGGCGCAAGCCUGAUCCAGCCAUGCCGCGUGUCUGAAGAAGGCCUUCGGGUUGUAAAGGACUUUUGUCAGGGAAGAAAAGGCUGUUGCUAAUACCGACAGCUGAUGACGGUACCUGAAGAAUAAGCACCGGCUAACUACGUG
Molecule: ribosomal RNA, 490 nt
Filed under: uncultured bacterium
Lineage: Bacteria
Description: partial 16S ribosomal RNA
Rfam family: Bacterial small subunit ribosomal RNA
Source: RNAcentral